UGUGAUUCAAUAAUAUGACCUCCGACAUUUACUAAUGAUAUGACCAGGGAAAAGCGGCUCAGCUUCUUUGAGUCUCACUUUGCUCAUCUAUAAAAUGGGGAUAAAAAAAAUCAUUACGGCACCUACCUCUUGAAGCCAUUGUCAGGUUCAAGAGACACUACAUGCAAAAUGCCUUGGUGACUUAAUGCACUCUAUAAAAGUCAAGAAUUAUUAUUAGCAAUUCUUAUACAAUUAUACUUUUCCUGUCUCCCUCAAUGGACUGGGCACACAGGAAACUCACUUGACUAAUAGACUAACCAAUUCCAAGGAGAGAACAAGUUAUCUAGUUCAAAUCAGUCAUUUUACAGAUAAGGAAACUGAGGCCCAGGGUUAGGUGAAGUGAUUUGUCCAGUGUCACAUUUGGAACAAGUAUCUGGAAUCUUAGAGAUGAACUUAAUAGCGCUCCUAGUAGUCCCUUGCCUAGAGGAAGAGGAGCUCACUUGCUGCUUAUUGACUUGAGCCACAACUAGGACAGGGCAAUCAGGGAUUUUUCCCAGGGCACUGAAACUUAUUUUUAUUUUUUUAAACCCUUACCUUCCAUUUUGAAAUUAAUAUUGUGUAUUGGUUCCAAGGCAGAAGAGCAGUAAGGGCUAGGCAAUGGAAAUUAAGUGACUUGCCCAGGGUCACACAGCUGGGAAGUGUCUGAGGUCACAUUUGAACCCAGGACCUCCUGUCUUGAGGCCUGGCUCUCCAUUGUGGAUUCACUGAGCUACUGAGCUGCCCCCUCAGGGCACUGAAAUGUACGAGGCCAUUGACAACACUUACCACUGCUGAGAUUAGUACCUGUAUGGAAGGAAGAAUUAGAUAAAACAGGAAGCUACCAGAUGAUAGCUAUUGCCCAGACCUAUGAUAUCACUGGUGUAUCAAGAAAUGUCCUCUCCUUAUGCAGAGCCACAGACUUGCAGGAUUCCAAAUGUAUACACAAAAAGAAUCCUCCCCAUGAUGUGCCUAACAAAAGAUCAUACACCCUCUACUUGAAGACCUCUACGGAUAUAUGAGGAGCCCCAUUACCUCUCAAGAUGGCUGAUUCCAUUUUUGUUUAACUUAAACUGUUUUUCCCUCUGCUAGUCCCCCCUAUUGUUUCUGCCCUUUGGCACCAAAUAGAAUAAAUCUAUUCUUUCUUCCUUCUGAGAGCCCUUC
Molecule: long non-coding RNA, 1179 nt
Filed under: Monodelphis domestica (gray short-tailed opossum)
Lineage: Eukaryota; Metazoa; Chordata; Mammalia; Didelphimorphia; Didelphidae
Description: lncRNA (ENSMODG00000035187.2)
Source: RNAcentral